RNAcentral lists this small nuclear RNA (262 nucleotides) under Jaculus jaculus (lesser Egyptian jerboa). RNAcentral's name for it is "7SK RNA (ENSJJAG00000005429.1)". It matches the Rfam family "7SK RNA", at positions 1 to 283 of the family's 331-position model. Rfam says of the family: 7SK was discovered as an abundant small nuclear RNA in the mid-70s but a possible function has only recently been suggested. Two independent studies have found that 7SK RNA binds the CDK9/cyclin T complex (known as elongation factor P-TEFb). Lineage: Eukaryota; Metazoa; Chordata; Mammalia; Rodentia; Dipodidae. The record is from RNAcentral.
UGAUGUGAGGGCAACCUGGCUGUGACAUUUAUCAUCCCGUUGAUCGCCAGAAUUGGUUCAGCUAUUCUGGCAGGCUAGGCGGCUGUCCCCUUUCUCCCUCACUGCUCCGUGUGCCCUCCCUCUUGAAGUUGCAUUCUGGAUGGAAGAGGACAACCUGCCCCGAUUACAGGAAACAGGUCUUCCUGUGCUCCCCUGCUAAAAUCUCCAAACAAGCUCCUAAGAGAAAGGCAGAUUGUUAUUAGUAGGGGAAAAAUGAAAUUUU